CGGGGCUUAGAGGAAGGGGGGCGUGGCUAGUACGUAAGGGGCGUGGCCAGCUCGGUCUGACCCCGCCCCUCCUCUUGGCCCCGCCCCCAGACGGACGCCCCGCCCCCCUCUGGCAGGGGCAACAGCGACGGCGCCGCGAGGACGAGGCCCUGGCGCGCCGCGCCCUCGCCCUGAGCCAAUCCCUGGACGGAGUCCGUGGCGGAGGGCGGAGCUUCGAGGCCCCGCCCAGCCCCGCCCUGCGCCCUAAGGGGCCCCAGUACAGCCCAGUACGGACCAGUCCGGACCAGUGACCACCAGUACGGAGCGGCUGGGAGCCUGCGGGGGCGGAAUAAAGCCUUGAGACCUGAU
Long non-coding RNA from Oxyura jamaicensis (ruddy duck), 348 nucleotides. RefSeq lists it as uncharacterized. The transcript has 2 exons. NCBI's taxonomy places the organism in Eukaryota, Metazoa, Chordata, Aves, Anseriformes, Anatidae. The record is from RefSeq and is a predicted model, not a curated record.